This 28-nucleotide small RNA is filed under the name Bombyx mori (domestic silkworm). Its description in RNAcentral is "ovarian small RNA-19468". Lineage: Eukaryota; Metazoa; Arthropoda; Insecta; Lepidoptera; Bombycidae. The record is from RNAcentral.
UAAGUUCGGGGAGCAGUCUGAUGCGGUA